This 800-nucleotide ribosomal RNA is filed under the name uncultured bacterium. RNAcentral's name for it is "bacterial SSU rRNA". It matches the Rfam family "Bacterial small subunit ribosomal RNA", at positions 99 to 912 of the family's 1533-position model. The record is from RNAcentral.
CGAACGGGUGAGUAACACGUGAGCAAUCUGCCCUUGACUCUGGGAUAACUGCGGGAAACUGUAGCUAAUACCGGAUACGACACCUUGGGGCAUCCCGGGGUGUGGAAAGAAUUUCGGUCAAGGAUGAGCUCGCGGCCUAUCAGCUAGUUGGUGAGGUAAUGGCUCACCAAGGCGACGACGGGUAGCCGGCCUGAGAGGGUGACCGGCCACACUGGAACUGAGACACGGUCCAGACUCCUACGGGAGGCAGCAGUGGGGAAUAUUGCACAAUGGGCGCAAGCCUGAUGCAGCAACGCCGCGUGAGGGAUGAAGGCCUUCGGGUUGUAAACCUCUUUUAGCAGGGAAGAAGCGAAAGUGACGGUACCUGCAGAAAAAGCACCGGCUAACUACGUGCCAGCAGCCGCGGUAAUACGUAGGGUGCAAGCGUUGUCCGGAAUUAUUGGGCGUAAAGAGCUCGUAGGCGGUUUGUCGCGUCUGCUGUGAAAAUCCAAGGCUCAACCUUGGACCUGCAGUGGGUACGGGCAGACUAGAGUGCGGUAGGGGAGAUGGGAAUUCCUGGUGUAGCGGUGGAAUGCGCAGAUAUCAGGAGGAACACCAAUGGCGAAGGCACAUCUCUGGGCCGUAACUGACGCUGAGGAGCGAAAGCGUGGGGAGCGAACAGGAUUAGAUACCCUGGUAGUCCACGCCGUAAACGGUGGGUGCUAGUUGUGGGCCACAUUCCACGUGGUCCGUGACGAAGUUAACACAUUAAGCACCCCGCCUGGGGAGUACGGUCGCAAGACUAAAACUCAAAGGAAUUG